Molecule: ribosomal RNA, 265 nt
Filed under: uncultured bacterium
Lineage: Bacteria
Description: partial 16S ribosomal RNA
Rfam family: Bacterial small subunit ribosomal RNA
Source: RNAcentral
GUCCACGCCCUAAACGAUGCGGGCUAGACGUCGGGGGGCAUGCCCCUCGGUGUCGCAGCGAACGCGUUAAGCCCGCCGCCUGGGGAGUACGGCCGCAAGGUUAAAACUCAAAGGAAUUGACGGGGGCCCGCACAAGCGGUGGAGCAUGUGGUUUAAUUCGACGCAACGCGCAGAACCUUACCAGCCCUUGACAUGGCGGUUGUGGACACUCGAGAGGGGGUCCUUCAGUUCGGCUGGGCCGUCACAGGUGCUGCAUGGCUGUCGU